UACGGGGGGGGCAAGCGUUGUUCGGAAUUACUGGGCGUAAAGGGCUCGUAGGUGGCCAACUAAGUCAGACGUGAAAUCCCUCGGCUUAACCGGGGAACUGCGUCUAAUACUGGAUGGCUUGAGUUUGGGAGAGGGAUGCGGAAUUCCAGGUGUAGCGGUGAAAUGCGUAGAUAUCUGGAGGAACACCGGUGGCGAAGGCGGCAUCCUGGACCAAUACUGACACUGAGGAGCGAAAGCCAGGGGAGCAAACGGG
Molecule: ribosomal RNA, 253 nt
Filed under: uncultured bacterium
Lineage: Bacteria
Description: partial 16S ribosomal RNA
Rfam family: Bacterial small subunit ribosomal RNA
Source: RNAcentral